This 358-nucleotide unclassified non-coding RNA is filed under the name soil metagenome. RNAcentral's name for it is "partial contains 5.8S ribosomal RNA, internal transcribed spacer 2, and large subunit ribosomal RNA". The stretch from base 1 to 120 matches the Rfam family "5.8S ribosomal RNA", at positions 35 to 154 of the family's 154-position model. The record is from RNAcentral.
GAUGAAGAACGUAGCGAAAUGCGAUAAGUAAUGUGAAUUGCAGAAUUCAGUGAAUCAUCGAAUCUUUGAACGCACAUCGCGCCCGUCAGUAUUCUGGCGGGCAUGCCUGUUCGAGCGUCAUUACGCCCCUCAAGUCCCCUGUGGACUUGGUGUUGGGGAUCGGCGAGGCUGGUUUUCCAGCACAGCCGUCCCUUAAAUUAAUUGGCGGUCUCGCCGUGGCCCUCCUCUGCGCAGUAGUAAAACACUCGCAACAGGAGCCCGGCGCGGUCCACUGCCGUAAAACCCCCCAACUUUUUAUAGUUGACCUCGAAUCAGGUAGGACUACCCGCUGAACUUAAGCAUAUCAAUAAGCGGAGGA